UACGUCGGGGGCAAGCGUUGUCCGGAUUCAUUGGGCGUAAAGAGCGUGUAGGCGGCCAGGUAGGUCGGUUGUGAAAACUGGAGGCUCAACCUUCAGAGGUCGACCGAAACCAUCUGGCUAGAGUCCGGGAGAGGAGAGUGGAAUUCCUGGUGUAGCGGUGAAAUGCGCAGAUAUCAGGAAGAACACCCGUGGCGAAAGCGGCUCUCUGGAACGGUACUGACGCUGAGACGCGAAAGCGUGGGGAGCGAACGGG
RNAcentral lists this ribosomal RNA (253 nucleotides) under uncultured bacterium. RNAcentral describes it as "partial 16S ribosomal RNA". It matches the Rfam family "Bacterial small subunit ribosomal RNA", at positions 524 to 776 of the family's 1533-position model. The record is from RNAcentral.